AACUUUUGUUCCCCAUCAGUUGAACAUAUUUUUCGUCUUUUACCAAAGAUUUUCGUGGGGGGAGCAUUUAAAGGAGUCUAGAAAAAAUGUAAUUUUUUGAAAGACCUGAUUCUGAUCGGGCCA
Cinara cedri is the source of this 123-nucleotide non-coding RNA. Lineage: Eukaryota; Metazoa; Arthropoda; Insecta; Hemiptera; Aphididae. The record is from the annotation of a GenBank genome assembly.